CUCUCCGUCUCUCUCUCUCUCCGUCUCUCUCUCUGUGCCCCGCGCAGCCUCGCGGACUCACGGCUCUCGUCGAGUACGAGUCCCUGCUCCUCCUCCUCCUCCUGCCAUCACCACCUUCCUCCUCCUGCUCCUCCUCCUCCUCCUGCCAUCACCACCUUCCUCCUCCUGCGCCUCCUCCUCCUGCCCCGCGCUCAAAGCAGACCGCGUGGCUCCGUGUCGCGCGCUCUGUGCGAGGCUGCUGCUGCUGCUGUUCCAAGAGAGUAGGGACACUGGUUGGACGGUGUAGCGUGUGUGUGGGUGCGUGUGUGGGUGCGUGUGUGUGUGUACGUGUGUGUACGUGUGCGUGCGUGCGUGUGUGUGUGGGGAGCGGUGGAGUAGCGCGCUGCGUUGCGCUACGAACCCGGCCACCGGAGCUCGAAUCCCGCUCACGGCCCCAGCAGCCAGUGACGAUUUUCUGAAUCAAUCCCGGGCCCCCAAGAAGUCACCCCAGUUGUAGAUCAGGACCCGGUGCGACAGCGCCACUGAGGGAGACAAAGAGUGUUGGGACGAGGAGCAGCACCUGUGAAGGCCGGCACGGCACACGAGGGGGUGGGUGGCCAACACCACGCUCGGCCGCCUUUGUCUCCCCAGGGCUGAUGUUUUACACACCGCACCAGGAGCCGCUCUGGUUGCUAAGAGACCGCCUGCUGAUGAGACGUCUUGCGGAUCGAGGUGGGGGGGGAUGUUACCUUGAGACUCUUCCACCAACACCAAGAACUCGAGCUCCCACACUCUGACUGUUCCGUCUCCUCCGCCAGCAGCACGCUGUGCUCAGCCACCACCACUCCCUCACUCACUCACCCACUUGCUCAUCCACUCACUCAUCCCCUCACUCAUCCCCUUACUCACCCACUUGCUCAUCCAUUCACUCACCCACCCACUCAUCCCCUUACUCACCCACUUGCUCAUCCAUUCAAACACCCACCCACUCAUCCACUCACUCAUCCACCCACUCAUCCACCCACUCACCCACUCACCCACUCACCCACUCACCCACUCACCACACCGCAGGUCACCUGCUUCUUUGCUCGCACUGCUCCACUUUGAAUUUCCCUCCUCCUCUAACCACAACCACCAUCGUAUCUACCCCCCCCCCCCCCCCCCCACCAUCACCAUCGUAUCCCCCUACCACCAAAAUCUGACAACAAUAAUCGCCUCGUUCAAUUCAAGGAACGCGAACUAACCUCUGCUCUGUGACAUCUGUGAUAACGGUGCUGUUUGUCGCUGGCCGUUUGACUUGCUGGACCUUUGGGCCGUGUACUCAAAGAGCCCCGUGGGACGAGUCGGUGUCUUUAUGUCGCCAUGCCACCAUCGUUGUUUAUUUACUAAUAAUCUCGUGAUGCGCUAUGAAGAAGGAGUAUUGUCCCAAACGUAUUUUACAUAUUGUUUUCUGUUAAGGCCACAUUGUUGUUAUUGACGAGUGUGUUGAGUUGUUGAUGUUGUUAUUGUUAUUGUCAAUUGUGCGUGUGCAUCACUGCUAACGCAGCAGCAGCAGUGUCAUCGCCAACAUAAUCUCUCUCUCGGUUUAUUCCCAGGCAGCCGAACCCCAGAUUCGAACCCAUGCAGGCGGUCGGUCUCGGUGCGUUUGUAACCUCUGAGCCACCUCUGGUUGGUCUUAAAUAUCGUUGUGAAAUGUAAUAAAGAAUCUUCCUAUAACAACAACAGCAGCGACAACAGCCUCAGCGGCGACAACAACCACCACUAACGCCGGGACAAUUAUACAACUCAGCGAAAACGCGCCCGCGCUGUGCACGCGUGGCGCAUGCAGCACGAAUCUAAAUCCUUUCAUGUCUCUCUCUUCUUUAACAAGUGUCGAUUUUUUUUGUGCGGCCUAAUUAAGAGACCCCGCUCCGCUCCACAGAUGUCCGAAUUUUGCACAUCAAACACUGGCCCUUGCGCAACCAGCGCGUACCACUGGCCACUGACACACACACACACACACGUGUGUACACACACACACGUGUGUACACACACACGCGCGUGUCAGAGCACGAACGCCUUUGUAUCGUGUGUCAACACUGCGCC
Molecule: long non-coding RNA, 2064 nt
Organism: Lethenteron reissneri (Far Eastern brook lamprey)
Lineage: Eukaryota; Metazoa; Chordata; Hyperoartia; Petromyzontiformes; Petromyzontidae
Source: RefSeq, a predicted model, not a curated record